This 83-nucleotide transfer RNA is filed under the name Candidatus Woesearchaeota archaeon. RNAcentral describes it as "tRNA-Leu". It matches the Rfam family "tRNA". Rfam says of the family: Transfer RNA (tRNA) molecules are approximately 80 nucleotides in length. Their secondary structure includes four short double-helical elements and three loops (D, anti-codon, and T loops). Lineage: Archaea; Nanobdellati; Candidatus Woesearchaeota. The record is from RNAcentral.
GCAGCCGUAGCGAAGUGGACAAACGCGGGGGACUUAAGAUCCUUUGGCUCAGGCCUUCGCAGGUUCGAAUCCUGCCGGCUGCA